RNAcentral lists this long non-coding RNA (729 nucleotides) under Oryza brachyantha (malo sina). Its description in RNAcentral is "long non-coding RNA (OBRA_LNC002329)". The record is from RNAcentral. Lineage: Eukaryota; Viridiplantae; Streptophyta; Magnoliopsida; Poales; Poaceae.
CUGUCCCUGCUUACGCCAGCCGAAGCCGCCACGCCUAUCCCCGGCCCCGCCGAAGCCGCGGCCCGACGCCACCGUCCCCAUCCCCAUCCCCGCCGACACUGCUGCCGUCCUGUCAGCGCCAACGCCAUCCCCGUCCCCGCCGACACCGCCGCCACCCCCGCCUACGCUGCCGCCAGCGCCGACCAAGGCUGGUUUAUAUGCUAGCUGAUUUUUUUUUUUUUUGCAUAUGUGCUUGGUUCUACUUCCUUUAUCUGAUUUUUUUUGCCAUGAUUAUUUGCAGGCUGUCAAACUAUGGAUACUAUGUGUAGCGGUGCCCAACGUGAACAAGAACAAGGCUAUCCUGUGUAUUGAAACUAUGUCAUUUUUUUGCAUUUAAGUUGGAUUGUUGGACUGUAUGUAAUUGUCUUGACUCUUAAGGCUGUUAUUGUGGUUGCAUUGUAUAUGGUUUGGGCGGGUAUGCUUGCUGUUAUACGGCACCCCGGGUAAUGGGUACAAGCAGAUUCUAUACCUAUGAUGUAGUAACGGGUAUACCCACGGUCAUAUAUUCGCCCAACAGGUAUGGUAUGGGUAGUUACUACCCGUAACCACUAUGCCCGAUUGCCAUCCCUAGUCUGUAAACUACUAUGUUAUCAUGUUAGCAUGUGUUUGGGGAUCUAAUCUCACUUGUUAGUUGUAUUUUUGACGUGGAUAGGAGGGCCAAACUAUUUUGUUUUAUUCAAUUAACCAUGA